RNAcentral lists this ribosomal RNA (1266 nucleotides) under uncultured eukaryote. RNAcentral's name for it is "partial small subunit ribosomal RNA". It matches the Rfam family "Eukaryotic small subunit ribosomal RNA", at positions 25 to 1283 of the family's 1831-position model. The record is from RNAcentral.
CAUAUGCUUGUCUCAAAGAUUAAGCCAUGCAUGUCUAAGUAUAAUCAACUUAUACUGUGAAACUGCAGAUGGCUCAUUAAAUCAGUUAUAAUCUCUUUGAUGAUUAUUUUCUUACAUGGAUAACCACGCUAAUUGUGUGGCUAAUACAUGCGUUAAAAGCCUGACCUUUGCGGGGAAGGCUGUUCUUUUUAUCUAAAAACCAAUGCAGACUCUGUCUGUUGAUUUGGUGAGUCAUAAUAACCUUUCGAAUUGCAUGUUCUCGUGACGGCAAUGGAUCAUUCAAGAUUCUGCCCUAUCAGAUUUGGAAGGUAGUGUAUUGGACUACCUUGGCUUUAACGGGUAACGGGGGAUUAGGGUUCGAUUCCGGAGAGGGAGCCUGAGAGACGGCUACCACAUCUAAGGAAGGCAGCAGGCGCGUAAAUUACCCAAUCCUGACACGGGGAGGUAGUGACAAUAAAUAACAAUACGGGGCUUUUCGGUCUUGUAAUUGGAAUGAGAACAAUUUAAAUCCCUUAUCGAGGAUCAAUUGGAGGGCAAGUCUGGUGCCAGCAGCCGCGGUAAUUCCAGCUCCAAUAGCGUAUAUUAAAGUUGUUGCAGUUAAAAAGCUCGUAGUUGGAUUUCUGGUAUGGUGCGCCUGGUCCGCCCCGUUUAGGUGUGUGAGUACCGGCGCGCGCCUGCCAUCCUUUCGCGGAGUGUUCCUACCUUCAUUGUGGCCGGGUUCGCAAUCUGGAUCGUUUACUUUGAAAAAAUUAGAGUGUUUAAAGCAGGCAUUUGCUUCUGAAUACAUUAGCAUGGAAUAAUAAGAUAGGACUUUGGUUCUAUUUUGUUGGUUUCUAGGACUGAAGUAAUGAUUGAUAGGGAUAGUUGGGGGUGCUAGUAUUCAGCGGCCAGAGGUGAAAUUCUUGGAUUCGUUGAAGACUAACUACUGCGAAAGCAUUCACCAAGGAUGUCUUCUUUAAUCAAGAACGAAAGUUGGGGGAUCGAAGACGAUCAGAUACCGUCGUAGUCUCAACCAUAAACUAUACCGACUAGGGAUCAGCGGACGUCUACUUAUUCGACUUCGUUGGCACCUUAUGAGAAAUCAAAGUCUUUGGGUUCCGGGGGGAGUAUGGUCGCAAGGCUGAAACUUAAAGGAAUUGACGGAAGGGCACCACCAGGCGUGGAGUUUGCGGCUUAAUUUGACUCAACACGGGAAAACUUACCAGGUCCGGACAUAGUGAGGAUUGACAGAUUGAAGAUCUUUCUUGAUUCUAUGGGUGGUGGUGC